Molecule: ribosomal RNA, 429 nt
Filed under: Acidobacteriota bacterium
Lineage: Bacteria; Pseudomonadati; Acidobacteriota
Description: Acidobacteria bacterium partial 16S ribosomal RNA
Rfam family: Bacterial small subunit ribosomal RNA
Source: RNAcentral
UGGGGAAUAUUGGACAAUGGGGGCAACCCUGAUCCAGCCAUGCCGCGUGUGUGAAGAGGGCCUUUGGUUGUAAAGCACUUUAAGCAGGGAGGAGAGGCUAAUGGUUAAUACCCAUUAGAUUAGACGUUACCUGCAGAAUAAGCACCGGCUAACUCUGUGCCAGCAGCCGCGGUAAUACAGAGGGUGCGAGCGUUAAUCGGAAUUACUGGGCGUAAAGCGAGUGUAGGUGGCUCAUUAAGUCACAUGUGAAAUCCCCGGGCUUAACCUGGGAACUGCAUGUGAUACUGGUGGUGCUAGAAUAUGUGAGAGGGAAGUAGAAUUCCAGGUGUAGCGGUGAAAUGCGUAGAGAUCUGGAGGAAUACCGAUGGCGAAGGCAGCUUCCUGGCAUAAUAUUGACACUGAGAUUCGAAAGCGUGGGUAGCAAACAGG